UACGUAGGGUGCGAGCGUUGUCCGGAAUUAUUGGGCGUAAAGAGCUCGUAGGCGGUUUGUUGCGUCGGCUGUGAAAUCCCGAGGCUCAACCUCGGGUCUGCAGUCGAUACGAGCAAACUAGAGUGUUGCAGGGGAGACUGGAAUUCCUGGUGUAGCGGUGGAAUGCGCAGAUAUCAGGAGGAACACCGGUGGCGAAGGCGGGUCUCUGGGCCAUUACUGACGCUGAGGAGCGAAAGCGUGGGGAGCGAACAGG
This 253-nucleotide ribosomal RNA is filed under the name uncultured bacterium. RNAcentral's name for it is "partial 16S ribosomal RNA". It matches the Rfam family "Bacterial small subunit ribosomal RNA", at positions 524 to 776 of the family's 1533-position model. The record is from RNAcentral.